AUUUAAUCAAGCUGCAGCACGACUUAAAGUUUACUCCCCUCUUUCUGUGGAGAGCUAAUAGCCAUGCCUGCUGGUUGCUCUAGUUACCCCUUACUGGAAAACAUCCAGGCUGUUCGUCCCUGUGGGUCUAAGACUUCCUUCCUGGAGCUCCCUGUCAACUCAAAAGCUAACUGUCGCUUUCUAGAGAGUAAAUCUACUACAGCCAGGCUAUUUCACUGGCUUUCUGAAAGGAUGGGGUUGGUUUUGAGGGGGCGGAAAGGGGAUGUGUUGUGUUCGAGUUAGGAUUUUGCUUCUUGGUUGGUUGGUUGGUUGGGGUUAUUUGUGGGUUUGGUUUUGGUUUGCUUUUUACAGAACACUAUUCUCGAGUGCUGGAAUAAUAACUCUGUAAAGCUCACAGUUAUUAUAGCAUAUUCACUGAAGUUAAAGCUUACAGACUUCAUGUAAUGGGAGAUAGAGUUGUCCCUUUUAUUCUUGUGUAAAUUCUGUUAAAGCUAGUCAAAAACAAAUUGGAAGAAAUUUAAGCCCUGCAUAUUGUUCCGGAAAGAGCUUUCCUAAGACUUUCCCAGAAAUGUUGUGGGUUUCUUUUUAAUUCCAGCAAUGACCAUUCAAAGAAGGAUGAUUGGUCGUUUUUUAGGUUGUAGAUAUCAAGUUUCCCGUCCAGGCUUAAUUAGAUUGUUGGAUAUGGCUGUCUGGGUAUUCACAUUAGCGUGGCUGAAAAUAAGCUCUCUCCUCCCCUAGACAGUGGUAUUUGAGCACAGCGGCAGCAUUUCACUGCCCUGCAGCACUGAACGUGCGCCAGACUUGGGAAUAAAGGGAGCUUGUUCUGCUUCAAUCUCAGCCUUGUCCAGCAUCGUGCAGUGACACUGGGAGAUCUUCCAGGAAUGUGUGUCACAGGCCCUGCUGGGGCAGAUACCAAAGCAGCGUAACUACUCCACGGCUUGGUGCGGUAGCAAAGCUACUCCCAUGGAUGCCCAUUUACAAAGUUGCUACUGAAUAAUGAAAGGACAUUUGAAAACAACUCUGCCCAAAGCCGUGUGAAAUGUAUGUUGUGGCGGUUUUUCCUACUACUAAAUUUGAGUUAAGAAUAUAAUAAAAGAAGUAGCAGAAGAUGAAAUGUACUUUAGGAGAGUACCAAGAAAGGAGGAAAAGAAGCUACAAACAACAUCCACAAAACAGGUCGCAGGGGGCUGGAGACCCUCUUUGCCCAAAUGCAGCUAUAAGACUCCAGCUUCAGGGCCAACUGCUGCAGAAGUCGUUCUGGAAAGUACUAUGAUAGGUCCAAUGGUUCGACAGUUUUGCUGCAGUCUGGGAAGUCAACUGCAGAGCUGCUGAACCAAAGUGUUUUGCCAGCCUUCCCUCAAGAACCUAUUUGCUAAGUCAAAGCUGCACCAAGAAACAUCAACAGUUCGUGGAGUUAAGUGGCUGACAGGCACAUAGAUAUGGUUGCCAAGUGCUCUUGGACACCUUUGAUCAGGGUGCACAGGGGACAGAAUACUGCAUCCCAGGUGUGAUGCAAUGGUUAAAAUAUCCCACGUAAGCCCAGUGGUACUGGCAGUCUGGUCGGUGAUGUCUGUACCACUGUGGGCUCACGAAUGAGGUAAGCCUUCAUCCUGAUUAUACAUUAAACUGAUCUUCAAUCUCUGAUCUUGCACAGGGCUGGGGGGAAGCUGUCACCCUCUCCUUUGCAGGCCAAAGCUUUUUCAAGCAGUUGACACAACACCUGAGCAAUUAUGUACCAAUGUGGGAAAAGUCAGAAAUAUGCAACCUCCCAUUUUAUCUGUCAGACUGACUUGGAAAACCAGGCUUUUGUUCCUUUGUUCUUCCUUAAAAGUAACAUCUAUUAUGUGCUUACAAGAGUGAAACAACAUGCUAUUAGCUGUUACUUGUGGUGUCAUUUCUAAGUACACUUUGUUAAAUUAAUCAUGACAACGCACUAGUUCCUGGACUUAUUCAGCAGCAGCAUCAAUUAUGAAUCUGCUUCCACAAACACUGAGCAGGGAUGCAGAGACUGUGUGCUUCCCACUCACAGGUACAGAGGAGAAUUCUGUUGGAUUUAUCAGUAAUUAAUAUGCAAAACAUUUAUGGGUGCCAGUAUAGAGAGGCUUGGAAAGUGGAGACGGGGGCGGGAGAGGGGGUAGAGGAGGGAAGAGAAAGGAAAAAACAGCACAAAACAACACCACCACAUGCCACAAACAACCAACACCACAAAACGUGAUGAAGGCACAUCAUUAAUCAGCCCCUCCAGCACCUUUCUUCUUUAAAUUCAGUGGAGAUGUAAGGAGACCUUAUUUUAUUUCCUCAACUUCUUUUCUAUUGCACAGACCACUUGUUCCAAUAAGGUACAAUGCUUCAUUAAAUUAGGAAGUCAAUAACUGUGGUUUAAGUUGUACUUUAUUAUCACUAGUUUUCCUCAUUAGAUGUUUUCUUCUUCAUA
Columba livia (rock pigeon) is the source of this 2434-nucleotide long non-coding RNA. RefSeq lists it as uncharacterized. The record is from RefSeq and is a predicted model, not a curated record. The transcript has 3 exons. Lineage: Eukaryota; Metazoa; Chordata; Aves; Columbiformes; Columbidae.